UGUGGCUCAGUGGUGGAGCACUCGCCUAGUAUGUGUGAAACACUAAGUUUGAUUCUUAGCA
This 61-nucleotide transfer RNA is filed under the name Ictidomys tridecemlineatus (thirteen-lined ground squirrel). RNAcentral's name for it is "Spermophilus tridecemlineatus (thirteen-lined ground squirrel) tRNA". It matches the Rfam family "tRNA", at positions 6 to 65 of the family's 71-position model. From Rfam's summary of the family: Transfer RNA (tRNA) molecules are approximately 80 nucleotides in length. Their secondary structure includes four short double-helical elements and three loops (D, anti-codon, and T loops). The record is from Rfam by way of RNAcentral. Lineage: Eukaryota; Metazoa; Chordata; Mammalia; Rodentia; Sciuridae.